GGGGAUGUAGUGACAACGGUUCAACACAUCAGGCUUCCAACCUGACAAUCCGGGUUCGAAUCCCGGUAUCCUCA
RNAcentral lists this transfer RNA (74 nucleotides) under Nocardia vulneris. RNAcentral's name for it is "tRNA-Gly". It matches the Rfam family "tRNA". From Rfam's summary of the family: Transfer RNA (tRNA) molecules are approximately 80 nucleotides in length. Their secondary structure includes four short double-helical elements and three loops (D, anti-codon, and T loops). The record is from RNAcentral. Lineage: Bacteria; Bacillati; Actinomycetota; Actinomycetes; Mycobacteriales; Nocardiaceae.